UACCAUGGACUCACAUUAUUCAUGAAGAACUCACAUACUUAUUGCAAAAGUUUUUAUUAGUAAUCGAAACAAAGUGCUAGACGCAUACUCCUAGGGGAAGGGUUGGUAGGUGUUAACCAUCGCACGAUCCCGACCGCAACACAAAGGAUGACAAUCAAUAAAUCAAUUAUGCUCCGACUUCCUAACAUAGCGGUUCACCAUACGUGCAUGUUGCGGGAAUCACUAACUUCAACACAAGUAUUUCUAGAUUCACAACACCCUACUAACAUAAC
Molecule: long non-coding RNA, 272 nt
Filed under: Hordeum vulgare
Lineage: Eukaryota; Viridiplantae; Streptophyta; Magnoliopsida; Poales; Poaceae
Description: long non-coding RNA (HVUL_LNC011579)
Source: RNAcentral